This 322-nucleotide ribosomal RNA is filed under the name uncultured eukaryote. Its description in RNAcentral is "partial 18S ribosomal RNA". It matches the Rfam family "Eukaryotic small subunit ribosomal RNA", at positions 1470 to 1796 of the family's 1831-position model. The record is from RNAcentral.
CCCUUAGAUGUUCUGGGCCGCACGCGUGCUACACUGAGUAAUUCAAUGGGUAAGGGAACGCUAGAGCAUUACCUAAUCUUGAAAUUUGCUCGUGAUGGGGAUCGACGGUUGCAAUUUUCCGUCGUGAACGAGGAAUACCUUGUAGGCGCAUGUCAUCAUCAUGCGCCGAAUACGUCCCUGCCCUUUGUACACACCGCCCGUCGCUCCUACCGAUUGAGUGAUCCGGUGAGGCUCUGGGACCUGGACGGAAAGAGCGUUUCGCUUAUUCUGUUUGGGAAACUUGGUCGAACCUUAUCAUUUAGAGGAAGGAGAAGUCGUAACA